RNAcentral lists this ribosomal RNA (252 nucleotides) under uncultured bacterium. RNAcentral describes it as "partial 16S ribosomal RNA". It matches the Rfam family "Bacterial small subunit ribosomal RNA", at positions 524 to 776 of the family's 1533-position model. The record is from RNAcentral.
UACGGAGGAUGCGAGCGUUAUCCGGAUUUAUUGGGUUUAAAGGGUGCGUAGGCGGGCUGUUAAGUCAGCGGUAAAAGCCCGGGGCUCAACCCCGGCGAGCCGUUGAAACUGGCUGUCUUGAGAUGUCGAGAGGUAUGCGGAAUGCGCAGUGUAGCGGUGAAAUGGUUAGAUAUUGCGCAGAACUCCGAUUGCGAAGGCAGCAUACCGGCGGCGAUCUGACGCUGAGGCACGAAAGCGUGGGUAUCGAACAGG